RNAcentral lists this ribosomal RNA (467 nucleotides) under uncultured bacterium. RNAcentral's name for it is "partial 16S ribosomal RNA". It matches the Rfam family "Bacterial small subunit ribosomal RNA", at positions 28 to 507 of the family's 1533-position model. The record is from RNAcentral.
GACGAACGCUGGCGGCGUGCUUAACACAUGCAAGUCGAACGGAAAGGCCCUGCUUUUGUGGGGUGCUCGAGUGGCGAACGGGUGAGUAACACGUGAGUAACCUGCCCUUGACUUUGGGAUAACUUCAGGAAACUGGGGCUAAUACCGGAUAGGAGCUCCUGCUGCAUGGUGGGGGUUGGAAAGUUUCGGCGGUUGGGGAUGGACUCGCGGCUUAUCAGCUUGUUGGUGGGGUAGUGGCUUACCAAGGCUUUGACGGGUAGCCGGCCUGAGAGGGUGACCGGCCACAUUGGGAUUGGGAAACGGCCCAGACGCCUACGGGGGGAAGGAGGGGGGAAUAUUGCACAAUGGGCGGAAGCGUGAUGCAGCAACGCGGGGUGGGGGAUGACGGCCUUCGGGUUGAAAACCCUUUUCGCCUGUAGCGAAGGGGGGUGGAGGGUAAGGGGUAAAAAACCACGGCCUAAUUAGUG